This 474-nucleotide ribosomal RNA is filed under the name uncultured bacterium. RNAcentral describes it as "bacterial SSU rRNA". It matches the Rfam family "Bacterial small subunit ribosomal RNA", at positions 335 to 803 of the family's 1533-position model. The record is from RNAcentral.
ACUCCUACGGGAGGCAGCAGUAGGGAAUCUUCGGCAAUGGGGGGAACCCUGACCGAGCAACGCCGCGUGAGUGAAGAAGGUUUUCGGAUCGUAAAGCUCUGUUGUAAGAGAAGAACGGGUGUGAGAGUGGAAAGUUCACACUGUGACGGUAUCUUACCAGAAAGGGACGGCUAACUACGUGCCAGCAGCCGCGGUAAUACGUAGGUCCCGAGCGUUGUCCGGUAUUUAUUGGGCGUAAAGCGAGCGCAGGCGGUUAGAUAAGUCUGAAGUUAAAGGCUGUGGCUUAACCAUAGUAUGCUUUGGAAACUGUUUAACUUGAGUGCAGAAGGGGGAGAGUGGAAUUCCAUGUGUAGUGGUGAAAUGCGUAGAUAUAUGGAGGAACACCGGUGGCGAAAGCGGCUCUCUGGUCUGUAACUGACGCUGAGGCUCGAAAGCGUGGGAGCAAACAGGAUUAGAUACCCUGGUAGCGACUGA